This 465-nucleotide ribosomal RNA is filed under the name uncultured bacterium. Its description in RNAcentral is "partial 16S ribosomal RNA". It matches the Rfam family "Bacterial small subunit ribosomal RNA", at positions 28 to 507 of the family's 1533-position model. The record is from RNAcentral.
GACGAACGCUGGCGGCGUGCUUAACACAUGCAAGUCGAACGGAAAGGCCCUGCUUGCAGGGUACUCGAGUGGCGAACGGGUGAGUAACACGUGGGUGAUCUGCCCUGCACUUCGGGAUAAGCCUGGUAAACUGGGUCUAAUACCGGAUAGGAGCCAUUUUUAGUGUGAUGGUUGGAAAGUUUUUUCGGUGUAGGAUGAGCUCGCGGCCUAUCAGCUUGUUGGUGGGGUAAUGGCCUACCAAGGCGGCGACGGGUAGCCGGCCUGAGAGGGUGGACGGCCACAUUGGGACUGAGAUACGGCCCAGACUCCUACGGGAGGCAGCAGUGGGGAAUAUUGCACAAUGGGCGCAAGCCUGAUGCAGCGACGCCGCGUGGGGGAUGACGGCCUUCGGGUUGUAAACUCCUUUCGCUAGGGACGAAGCUUUUUGUGACGGUACCUAGAUAAGAAGCACCGGCUAACUACGUG